Long non-coding RNA from Esox lucius (northern pike), 3374 nucleotides. Lineage: Eukaryota; Metazoa; Chordata; Actinopteri; Esociformes; Esocidae. The record is from Ensembl.
CGAUAGCUAUGUGUCUUGCGCAAUAGUCAAGUUUGAUUGAAGAUUGGUGUGUCCUUUGUGUGCGUCUGACGGUGAUCGUUCAAAAUGUGCUGGUGUGCUCCAAACCUAGCGAGUUUCAAAUCCAUUGGUCGUCAUUUGAGGGAGUUACAUGCUAACAAAGACAUGCAUAACCGGUGCCAGAUUGCAUGUCUUUGCUUACUUGGUGCGAAGCAUAUAGGCAACGCAGAAGGAUAAACAAUGUCUUGUUAAAUGCUAGAGACUGUUCUUUUCAGGAAUACCAAUUAUUUCGGUGUUAAAACCUAGGCAGGUUUGAAUAUCAUGAAUAGUUUUGCUCCGAGUUGGAUUUUGUUGUACAACCCCAUGGAGAACAUGAAUCGUUUUGGAUUAUAAAAACAGAAUUUAUCAAACAAAACAAUGCUUGGCUAAAUCUCUGGGACCAUCAAGAUAAGAAAUCAGACGGCUCAUUGUAAGUACACAGUUUACCAUCAGACACCAAACUAGCGACCCUGGUGCCAUUUGUGUGGAUGUUUACUAUACUCAAAAACUUGCAUAGGAGUUAGUCGCUGUAAUGGCUUCUUUAAAUUGUGUAAUGCAGUUAGAUUCACGAGAUUCUAAGCUUUCUGCACAUAUAUAAUAUGCCUAUAACAAAAAAUAUAUAUUUACAACACUUUGUGGCAUAAACGUUUGGUGUCACGGCGGCAGGACGUCUCAGAGAAUUAACAGGCAGCCAGCGUUAACUGCUCUGUAAGUAACGGUCUGUAAUUUGAAGGGUUACCAAAACACCUACAGGCAGGCAAGCGGUUCCCACAAACUAAUUGUAGGAAACAUAACAAAAAAUACAGUCAGUGGUCUGGUCAAUUUGCAAAGGUGUAUGUAUGUUUUACUAGGGUUAUUUAUCUAGCUAUAUUGGGCAUACUGUGCCCGGCAUAGACAUAAUAAAGAGUAGACCCCGCAUUGGCUGCUGGGCGCGAGAAAUACGGCCGCCAUCUUGGACCGGUCGUACUCCUAGUUGCGUAGCAGCAGAAGCAACGGCGCCAGAGCACUGUGCAGCAUAUUCCUGCUCAAAUCGGCGGACCAUCGAAAGCAGGGCUCGGUGGAUUACUUUUCACAAGUAAGAUUUAACAGUACCUUACUAUUGGUUGUAUUUUGUGACUAGAAUAUAACCAGAGAGUUGAGAAGGAGCAAGGUUCUUUGAUAUUACUGUACUGCACCAGCCGGUGUUCACCCAGCUAUGAACUGAGACUUGAUUAGUCAUAUUCUAUAACACUGGCUUAGAUUACAACUGACACAAGAAUGCUAUUGUAGAAAUAAAACAAAUAUUACUGGUAUAACAUUGGCCAGCUAAUUUUACACAAGUGGCACAGACUGUAUCAUAUAUAGUCGUAUAUAUACAUAAAAGACAGUAUCAUCAGUGUUGGGCAAUACUAGCUUAGCUAGUAACUUAGUAUUUUGGUGGAAGCUUCUCUAUUUCCAGAGUCAAGGAACUUUUCAGUAGUAGUAACUCCUUUAUUUACAAAGUUGCUUGGCCACACAAGCUACACUUUUCUUGUCAUGUGAGAUUAGCGCAACUUAAAUUAGCUUCCUAUGUAGUGAACUAGCCUACUGCUGUGCUUUUGUUAUGCAUUGUGUUCCUAAGAUGCUCCUAACUGCUUCAGUUUUGUUUGUCUGAAUUGUUUUGUAUUCAGUGUUUUUCAGGUCCUAGAUGCUUCUAAAUGGUAUAUAUUACACAACAUCAACUUUAUGCAGGUGUCAGAAAGAUUGGUAUGUAUGUUGAUGUGAUGUUAUCUUGUUGAAAUGUUUUUCAAUAUGCAGUUUUGUUUCGGUUGGCAUUAUCUUGUAUUCAGUGUGUUUUUCAGGUCCUAGAUGUUUCUAAAUGGUAUGUAUUACACAACAUCAAGUACAUGUAGGUGUCAAAAGGGUAGGUAUUGCAUGUGUUGUUUUCAAGUUAUCCCAGUUCUGCAAUUAUAUUGUUACAAGUUAAUGUUCCUUUGUGUACAAGUAUACUUUAUAAGUUAAACAAGAAACUGAUCCCAUUCCUAAAAACAUGGAUGCAAACUAAUUAUCUAUCUGCCCUGGUAGCUGUUUACCAUUUUCAUUCUCUGUGAGUUUGCACCCCUGUGAUAGGCACUUUACUGCUUUGUAUUAACAAAAUCACAUGGGGCUUUCUUUGGGUGUCUUUUCGCCAUGAUCAGAGUAAUAAAACCUUUUUCUUUUGCAGGUACUUGUCGGUCAUCGGGUCAAUAACGACGUGUGAUGCUGAUGAUUCCUGAACUGCUUGGAGCUCCUAUUUAAUUCAAUCAGAGCAUCAGGCGGCUGGAAUAACAAUAACAAUCCAGUUCCAGGCCAUCUUCCGCCGGCUGAUGGUUCGGUGUGGUGUCUCACCUGGUGAGACAGGCAAUGUGGCAGCCCAGGAUAACACUGUCCCUGUCUGCAGUGGAGAUGUCCUCUCCUGAAACUGCUGAAGAGCACCCAUCUCCAUUCGCCAACAUUUGGCCCUUGUGUGUGACCACAGUUAUCUCCCCACUCGGUUUGGUGGUCUGGUGGCAAAUGCUCAGGUCUACAUAGCAGGGUUUGUAGUCCGGCAGAUUCUACGAAAACUGUCCUGUGAUGUGUGCUGUGCGAGCUUGGUCAGAGAUGCUGUACCAUCUUCAUUUGACAAGAGCUACCACCUUCUAACCCGGAAAAACGGCGGCCUAGUUUUUCCAUCACAAGGCACAGUGAUGAUUUUAUUCUUUUAAUCUUUGUAUAUUAAGGUUGCUUUGUUCUUAUUUUCUCUGUUUUGUAAAGUGUCUUUGAGCACUGUGUAAAGCGCCAUAUAAAUAUAAUGUAUUUUAUAAUUUUUAUUAUUUUAAUAAGGUGUUGAGAGCUGCAGAGGGGGUGUAGAUGUAUUGAUUGUAUGAGUUAGUGAACUGUUGUAAGCUGUUGUAACCAAUGUAGAUGUAUUGAUUGUAUAAGUUAGUGAACUGUUGUAAGCUGUUGUAACCAAUGAAACAAAAUAUUAAUUGUUUGUAAUAUGAGCUGAAACUGAAGGUGCAAGCAGGAGAAUAGGAAACCCUGUUCAAGCGGUUGCCGGGGAGAGAAAGAUUUAGUAUGUCUGUCUUGUGAGAAACAGGUCACAGGUCAGAGACACACACACAUAGUCGGACAGACAACACAGAAACCACAAGGGGGGCAAGGGGAUACUUGCAGUUAUCCUUAUAAGGAAUAGAACUGGGAUUGGGCCAAUGGCACACUUGCUUUGUAACUUAACGCCGCUAUCUUUUGGGCGUAGUGGAAGUAUAAAAAUGAUGUUUUGACUGUUGAUCCUUAGACAUUGUACGGCGACACCUUGUCUCCAAAAGCUUUUGUAAUAAACGGAAUAUGCGGUACGGUAA